UACGUAGGUGGCAAGCGUUGUCCGGAUUUACUGGGUGUAAGGGGCGUGUAGCCGGGCUGACAAGUCAGAUGUGAAAUCCGGGGGCUCAACCCCCGAACUGCAUUUGAAACUGUUGGUCUUGAGUAUCGGAGAGGCAGGCGGAAUUCCUAGUGUAGCGGUGAAAUGCGUAGAUAUUAGGAGGAACACCGGCGGCGAAGGCGGCCUGCUGGACUGCAACUGACGUUGAGGCCCGAAAGCGUGGGGAGCAAGCAGG
This 253-nucleotide ribosomal RNA is filed under the name uncultured bacterium. Its description in RNAcentral is "partial 16S ribosomal RNA". It matches the Rfam family "Bacterial small subunit ribosomal RNA", at positions 524 to 776 of the family's 1533-position model. The record is from RNAcentral.